RNAcentral lists this ribosomal RNA (603 nucleotides) under Fructobacillus fructosus. Its description in RNAcentral is "bacterial SSU rRNA". It matches the Rfam family "Bacterial small subunit ribosomal RNA", at positions 340 to 934 of the family's 1533-position model. Lineage: Bacteria; Bacillati; Bacillota; Bacilli; Lactobacillales; Lactobacillaceae. The record is from RNAcentral.
AACGGGAGGCUGCAGUANGGAAUCUUCCACAAUGGGCGCAAGCCUGAUGGAGCAACGCCGCGUGUGUGAUGAAGGCUUUCGGGUCGUAAAGCACUGUUGUAUGGGAAGAACGGGUUUAAGAGGAAAUGCUUAAACAGUGACGGUACCAUACCAGAAAGGGACGGCUAAAUACGUGCCAGCAGCCGCGGUAAUACGUAUGUCCCGAGCGUUAUCCGGAUUUAUUGGGCGUAAAGCGAGCGCAGACGGUUGCUUAAGUCUGAAGUGAAAGCCCACAGCUCAACUGUGGAAUGGCUUUGGAAACUGGGCAACUUGAGUGCAGUAGAGGUAAGUGGAACUCCAUGUGUAGCGGUGGAAUGCGUAGAUAUAUGGAAGAACACCAGUGGCGAAGGCGGCUUACUGGACUGCAACUGACGUUGAGGCUCGAAAGUGUGGGUAGCAAACAGGAUUAGAUACCCUGGUAGUCCACACCGUAAACGAUGGAUACUAGUUGUUAGAGGGUUUCCGCCCUUUAGUGNACAANCAAACNCAUUAAGUAUCCCGCCUGGGGAGUACGACCGCAAGGUUGAAACUCAAAGGAAUUGACGGGGGCCCGCACAAGCGGUG